UACGAAGGGGGCUAGCGUUGUUCGGAAUUACUGGGCGUAAAGCGCGCGCAGGCGGUCCUUUAAGUCAGGGGUGAAAGCCCAGAGCUCAACUCUGGAACUGCCUUUGAAACUAGAGGACUUUGGGUACGGGAGAGGUGAGUGGAAUUCCGAGUGUAGAGGUGAAAUUCGUAGAUAUUCGCAAGAACACCAGUGGCGAAGGCGGCUCACUGGCCCGGUACUGACGCUGAGGUGCGAAAGCGUGGGGAGCAAACAGG
Molecule: ribosomal RNA, 254 nt
Filed under: uncultured bacterium
Lineage: Bacteria
Description: partial 16S ribosomal RNA
Rfam family: Bacterial small subunit ribosomal RNA
Source: RNAcentral